Molecule: long non-coding RNA, 1143 nt
Filed under: Anser brachyrhynchus (Pink-footed goose)
Lineage: Eukaryota; Metazoa; Chordata; Aves; Anseriformes; Anatidae
Description: lncRNA (ENSABRG00000011015.1)
Source: RNAcentral
CGGGGGUCACCGGGGUGGGUCCUAUGGGCACCUGGGAUUGUCAGCGGAGUGUGUCAUCCUCGGACCUGUUGGACCCUUGGAUUUCACCGCGGUGGGUCCUCCGGGGCACUGCAGGGCCCUGUGGUAUCACUGGAGUGGGUCCUCCGGGGACCUGGUGGGUCUUGUGUUGUCACCGGGGUGGGUCCUCCGGGGACCUGUGGGACCCUUGGGUGUUACCGUGGUGGCAUCUCCGGGGCCCCCGGGGAGCCCUGUGGUGUCACCGGGUGGGUCCUCUGGGGACCUGGGGGACCUGGGGAGAUCACCGGGGUGGGUCCUCCGGGGACCUGGGGGGCCCGGGCGGGUUACUGGGGUGGGUCCUCCGGGAACCUGGUUGGCCUGGGGGAGUCAACGGAGUGGGAGCUCCGGGGAACUGUGGGACCUUUGGGUGUCACCGGGGUGCGUCCUCCGGGGACCGCGGGUGACCAGGGUUUUCAACGGAGUGGGUGCUCCGGAGACGUGUGGGACCCUUGGGUGUCACCGGGGUUGGUGCUCCGGAGACCUCGAUCUUUUCACGGGGGCGGUUCCUAUGGGGCGCCCGGGGGCCCGCCGGGGGUCACAGGGGUGGGUACUUUGGGCCACCCAGGGGCACACUGUGUGUCACCGGGGUGGGUGCUAUGGGAUGCCACGGGGCCCGCCACGGGUCACAAGGGGUGGCUCAUCCGGAGCUCCCAGGGCCCACCGGGGGUCACCGGGGUGGGUCCGAUGUGGCGCCAGGGGCCCGCUGGGGGUCACCGGGGUGGGUGCUCGGGGGGGCCCAAGGGGCCCGCCGCUGGUCACAGGGGUGGGUCCUAUGGGGAGCUAGGGGGCCUGCUGGGGGUCAGCGGGGUGGGUCCUAUGGGGCGCCCGGGGGCCCGCCAGGGGUCACUGGGGUGGGUGCUCUGGGGUGCCAGGGGGCCCAGCGGGGCUCACCGGGGUGGGUCUUAUGGUGCGGCCAGGGGCCUGCCGGGGGUCACCGGGGUGGGUCCUAUGGGGCGCCUGGUGGCCCUUCGGGGCUCACCGGGGUGGGUGCUUAGGAGAACCCGGGGUCCUGCCAGGGGUAACGGGGGGGGUGCUCCGGGGAGCAACGAGCAGUUCGCGCUUCUGCAAAUUCGAUUAAGCCUUUGA